UGUGUAGGCGGUGUUCCAAGUCUGGUGUGAAAUCUCCCGGCUUAACUGGGAGGGUGCGCCGGAAACUGGAAUGCUCGAGGGUGGGAGAGGUAAGCGGAAUUCCUGGUGUAGCGGUGAAAUGCGUAGAUAUCAGGAGGAACACCUGUGGUGUAGACAGCUUACUGGACCACUUCUGACCCUGAGACACGAAAGCGUGGGUAGCAAACA
RNAcentral lists this ribosomal RNA (207 nucleotides) under uncultured bacterium. RNAcentral's name for it is "partial 16S ribosomal RNA". It matches the Rfam family "Bacterial small subunit ribosomal RNA", at positions 568 to 774 of the family's 1533-position model. The record is from RNAcentral.